AAAAACUUUCCACGUGAACCGUAUCAACCCACUUAGUUGGGGGCCUGUCCUGGCGGCUGGCUGUCGAUGUCAAAGUUGACGGCUGCUGCUGUGUGUCGGGCCCUAUCAUGGAGAGCGUUUGGGUCCCUCUCGGGGGAACUGAGCCAGUAGCCCUUUUCUUUUAAACCCAUUCUUGAAUACUGAAUAUACUGUGGGGACGAAAGUCUCUGCUUUUAA
Molecule: unclassified non-coding RNA, 216 nt
Filed under: Phytophthora fragariae
Lineage: Eukaryota; Oomycota; Peronosporomycetes; Peronosporales; Peronosporaceae
Description: partial ITS1
Source: RNAcentral